This is a non-coding RNA of Pelobates cultripes (western spadefoot toad), 93 nucleotides long. NCBI's taxonomy places the organism in Eukaryota, Metazoa, Chordata, Amphibia, Anura, Pelobatidae. The record is from the annotation of a GenBank genome assembly.
CUCCAUUUUAUUUCAGAAGUUGUGUCCUUAAAGGGUUAAAAUAUCUAUUCUUUGAUGUAACCCCUUAAGGACCAAACUUCUGAAAUAAAAGGA